Molecule: long non-coding RNA, 1026 nt
Filed under: Homo sapiens (human)
Lineage: Eukaryota; Metazoa; Chordata; Mammalia; Primates; Hominidae
Description: HSALNT0038113
Source: RNAcentral
CUCCGCUCUCGCUCUCCGUGAUUUAUUACUUGCCCUGCUGCUUCUGACAAACUAUUUGUAGGAAAAUGAGAUUUGGUCCGCGCUGGAUGGCUCCUCUGGGAGGCAGGCGUGGGGGUCGGGUGUCGGAGGCCCCGUGCGCCCCCCCACCCCCCACCAGAGCCCACGGCGCUCACGGAGCUCUUUAAGAUAAAUGAGCAAAAUUAAGAGACUCACUGGGGGAAGAAAACACUGGAUGGGAGCGAGCGAGAGCGGAUGGUACUUGGUUUCCUCCCAGAAAUGCAUCCACGUGCGCCCCACUGGGGCCUCCCCCAUCUGCUGCAGACUCCAGGGAACUUCCUCCCCUCAAAGACGAACUUCCAGCCCUGGAGCAUGUUUCUUCCUUUCCUGGGAUGUGGCGCUGAAAAGGGCAGAAACCUCUAGUAAGGCACAAGCAACAGAUUGGGGGUGGAGCAGCAGGUCUCUUUGGAGGUGGCCUGGAAGAAACCGGACAGAGAGGAUGGGAAGGGGAGAAACAGAAGAGUGUGACGAGAUCAUGAAGGAAAGAGGAGGCGUCUACUGAAUGUAAGGUAGAGCCAAAGGCAUCUAUUGAUGACUGAAGAAGAGGCAUGAAUAUGACAAAAACAGGAAGCAUCUGUUUCCACCAGUCACCAGCAAGCGGAGGAUCGUAUAAGGACACCCUUCAGUGUCAGUGUGCUUCAUUAUGCUUUUGGAUGUGUUAGUAAAAAUUCUCCGGAUUUGGAGGUGCGAGUCAGAGCCAGAUUCCUGACUAAAUGGAGGGAUGCAAUGAGAAAUUCAUAAUAAGAAAUUAUUUUGUUGUCAUCUAUCAUGGUUACAUCAAAAACAGUAUUGCUGGCCACCGCGCCGGCGAGCGCCGCCAGGGAGGCAGCGGCUGGAGGAGCGGACGGGCCCCGCAGGGCCCGAGGGCAAGGAGCAGCCGCCUGCCUUGGCCUCCCAAAGUGCCGAGAUUGCAGCCUCUGCCCGGCUGCCACCCCGUCUGGGAAGUGAGGAGUGUCUCUGCCUGGCCGC